RNAcentral lists this long non-coding RNA (21709 nucleotides) under Brachypodium distachyon (stiff brome). RNAcentral's name for it is "long non-coding RNA (BDIS_LNC005261)". Lineage: Eukaryota; Viridiplantae; Streptophyta; Magnoliopsida; Poales; Poaceae. The record is from RNAcentral.
CCCUUCGGCGAGGGCCGCAUCACCAUGCGCAAGACGGCCGCCAAGCCCAAGGUGUCCGCGUCCGGCAGCCCGUGGUACGGCUCCGACCGCGUGCUCUACCUCGGCCCACUCUCCGGCGAGCCCCCGAGCUACCUCACCGGCGAGUUCCCGGGCGACUACGGCUGGGACACCGCCGGGCUCUCCGCCGACCCCGAGACCUUCGCCAAGAACCGCGAGCUCGAGGUCAUCCACUGCCGCUGGGCUAUGCUUGGUGCCCUCGGCUGCGUCUUCCCCGAGCUGCUCGCCCGCAACGGCGUCAAGUUCGGCGAGGCCGUCUGGUUCAAGGCCGGCUCCCAGAUCUUCAGCGAGGGAGGCCUUGACUACCUCGGCAACCCCAGCCUUGUCCACGCCCAGAGCAUCCUUGCCAUCUGGGCCUGCCAGGUUGUACUCAUGGGCGCCGUCGAGGGGUACCGUGUUGCCGGUGGCCCGCUCGGUGAGAUUGUUGACCCACUCUACCCAGGCGGCAGCUUCGACCCCCUUGGCUUGGCUGACGACCCAGAGGCAUUCGCUGAGCUCAAGGUGAAGGAGAUCAAGAACGGCCGCCUCGCCAUGUUCUCCAUGUUUGGGUUCUUCGUCCAGGCCAUUGUCACCGGCAAGGGUCCCCUCGAGAACCUGGCCGACCACCUGUCCGACCCAGUGAACAACAACGCCUGGGCCUUCGCCACCAACUUCGUCCCCGGCAAGUGAGCUUAGUUAGCAAGCUCCAGCGCCUGCUCUAUGCUGAGGCGCUUGGCCGACGACGUCAUUGUUGAUGAUGGAUGCUGCUGCAUGUGUCGAGAUUGAGUCAGGAGUCAGGACUGAUAGAUGUUGCAUGUGAAAGUCAGAGAUGAGGAGUUGGUGUUGUACACUAAAGAUGGUGUUUGUGUAAUAUCCCUCGGUUAUUUGUGAGAUGAAUCCGGGCAUCUUUGUUCUUCUGCUCACUUGUUCAUUUCUCUCUCCUCUUGAAUGCGUGCUGUUUGCAUUAGAAGGAGAACGCCGAGAAAGCGCACCUCACUCGUUGCAUUGGUUCUACUUCCUCUGAAUCUGAAUGUGUCUGAAAGUUGUCUGAAUUUUCUGAAAGUCCAAGCCGGUAAGUUGUCUGAAUUUUCUGAAGUCAAAUUUCUAUUUAAAUGUUGUACAAAUCUUGGGUUCCUCCUAGUAAAAACAAACUAUGGAACACUGCCAACUAGUGCAGCUUCCUUGUGAAGAUGCUGCUGUACUACCGUCCCUGAAGAACGGUCAUGGUUAUGCUGUUCCUGGUGUUCUCAAGAUCGUCUCUCUUUGCUUCCAUCAGCGCGAGAUAGGCAGGCUGGUUUGGUUUCGGCAGCGACAAUGUCGACGACGAGGACCCGCUUCCAUUCUCCAGGAUGGACACGACGGCCGACAUGAGCGGCCUCCUGCUCGGGUCGCCCUCGACGCAGAGGAGCCCGACGUGGAUGCAGAGCAAAGCCUCCUCCUGCGAGCAGCUUCCUGCGAUGGAUGGAUCCACCAGGCCGCCUGCCUUUCCUUCCCUCCACAGGUUCCAUGCCUGCAUGAAACAAUCAAAUCAACCAUUCUGUGUUUUUUCUCUUAAAAUUCUGGUGUCAGUGGCUGUUCUAAUUCAGAUGCUCACAUAGACUAUGAGGCUUGGAAACUCCAUGAUGUCAUCAGGAGAGCUUAUCCUGACACCGCUCACGAUCUCCAGGAGCAGCACGCCGAAGCUGUAGACAUCGGACUUGACAGAGAAAACGCCCUCCGUAGAGUAUUCAGGAGCAAUGUAACCACUGUCCAGUGUCCCCACAAAGUUUUCAGAAGACGUGCCAGAAUUUUGUCAAAUGCUAAAAGCUAACUACAGCUUAAAAAGCAAAAUCUAUUUUUUUGUUUGUAAAUCUAGCUUCAGUAUUCAGAGUACUAACAAUGUUCCGACGACUCGCUUGGUGUUGGCAUUCUGCUGGUUGUCGCAGAAGAUCUUGGCCAUGCCGAAAUCCGCUAUCUUGGGCCGCAUCUCAGCAUCCAGCAGCACGUUGCUUGCCUUGAGAUCUCGGUGUAUCACUGUCAACCUCGAGUCCUGGUGGAGGUAGAGGAGCCCCCUCGCGACGCCCUUGAUUAUCUCCAGCCGCGUCGGCCAAUCCAGCACCGAUUUCCUUUCACUAUCUGAAGCAAAAAGAUCACAUGAGACCGUCAGGAAUCGUAUCAUCAUUUUCUGUUCUUUCUUUCUUCAGUAACUUGCUUGAGUUCUGAACAUAUAUACAUACCGAAGAGGAUGGCGUCCAGGCCUUUGUUGGGCAAGUACUCGUAGAUGAGCAACUUCUCUGCUCCUUCCGUGCAGCAGCCGAGGAGACGGACCAAGUUUCUGUGUUGCAGUUUGGCGAUCAGGAUGGCUUCGUUCUUGAACUCUUCUGUUCCUUGGUCAGAAUCCUUGCUCAGUCUCUUGACAGCAACCUCUCGACCGCUCUCUAAUGUCCCCUUCCGAAUGAUACAUGAAACAGGCGAGAUCAUGAGUAUAAUUCAGUAUUUCAGUGCAUCGAUCAAUGCUUCCGAGUUGAAAUUUAUUUAUUUUGGUAAACUGGAAGAAGAGAAAAAUUCUCAGAUAACUGAAAAAGUGAAAAUCAACAGGCCAGAUGAAAAAUCAUACUACCUUGUAAACCUUGCCGAACCCUCCACGCCCGAUCAUGAAUGCUUUGGAGAAGUUUCCCGUGGCGGCCACGAUGUCGACGAACCGUACGGAUGGGAACUCAAGAUCUUCAGCGUGUUCUCCUUCUCCGAUCUCAGUCGACGUAUUCGCGCUCCCGGGCACCAGCUUCUUCUGGCUCUCGGUUUUUCUCCCCUUUUCUGUAAAUUUUGAUGUCCCAAGCAUUUCAUCUCCGAUGAGCAUGGCAUGUUUAGAGAUACUAAUAAAAAGAGAGGAAGAUAAUAUAAUUGUAUGUAGCACCUCUGAACCUACAGAACCACACAAACAAAAUGCAUGCGAGCAACAAGACGCCGGCUAACACCGGCAGUGCUAUUUUCAAGGCAUUUUUGCUUGCCAUUGUACCUGCACGUGCAAAAAGUCAAAACAAUGGCAAAGUUUGGUGACACAAUCGAUUUCGGCCAAAGGGGCAAACUUCUUCUUUGAAUUCUGUUGAAAUCCAAUAAAAUUCUGGAAAAAAGUCCGGUAGUACUACUAAGAGCUGAUUUCUAUUUCAAUCUGGGUGAAAUUCAGGUACUGCUGGUUUUUGAAGUUGUAACUACCUGCGGAACCAGCAGGAGGAAGGGGGACGCGAAGGUAUAGCGUGUCGGCUAGGGAGGCCCAGAGGGGCCCAAUCAUCUGCGUGUCGACGAGGUCCCCGGCCCACAAGAGGCACCGCCUGACGUCCCCCUUGGCGCUGCUGCUCUGCAGCUUGGCGUACGCGUACGCCAUGCAGGAGCAGUUCCCGGCGCACCUCGCCGCGCACUCCUCGGCGCUCCUGUUCCCGCCGUCCAGCACGAACUUGUCCGGCACCUUCACCCCCGCCAUGGCCAAGAACCCACUCCCAUGCCCGCACGGCGGCAGCGGCUCCUUCCGCCGGCACCCCUUGGAGAAGUCACCGCCGGUGGCCCACGCCGGCUCGAAGCCGUCCAGGCACCUGCAAGCCGCCGCGGCGACGUCGCAGUACCCGUAGGGCCCGCAGUAGCCGUACCGGCUGCACCCGCUGGACGGCCAUGACCCCACCGUGGCCCACGCCGAGGCGCUGCCGUUCCAGCCGAGGAGCUGGAACUGGCCGGAGCUGGUGAGGACGAACCGCGUGGGGGCCGCGCCGGGGGAGACGGUGAAGGUGUUGGAUAUCUCGUCCUCGGUGUCGACGAUGGCGGUGUACACCACGGUGCCGGUGCCGCUGACGUAGCUGGCCUGGACGGUGUAGCCGUUCCACACGGGGCUGCGCCAGUGAGGGCGCGUCCCGUCCCAGACGAGCAGCUGGAGGGCGGUGUCCGGGUCCAUGCCGUAGGAGAAGCGCCCCGGGGACGGGUCCUCGGGGGAGCUCCAUGACACGAGGCGCCCGCCCUCGUGGGUCCGGUGGUUCAGCCAGACCUUCAUGCCCGGGAGGAACGUGUCGGCCGGGUGGUCGAAGCUCUGCCACAGCGCGGUCCCGUUGGCGGACCGGAGGACCAGGUUGCCGGCGUUCGUGAGCACGGCCAGCGCCGCGGGCGGCGAGCCGCUCGCCAUGCCGGUCGUCCAGACCGCGCGCCCGUCGGCGUCGGACAGGACGAGGUUGGAGGAGUCGUUGUCCAGCGCGAGCCUCGGCGCAGAAGUGCCGUUGGUGAUGGGGGUUUCCCGGUUGGCGACCCACACGACGGUGUUGACGGGGAUGCUGUUGUACCAUAUGCCGAGGUACUGUCUGUCCGGAGUGGAGAUGGACGGGGAGAAGAAGCCCAGAGCGAAGGCGCCGCCGUCCGACACUAGGGGCUUCCCGGGCGCGAGCAGCUCGCCUGCGACCAGCUCGUCGCCGGCCCCCGCGCACGGGCGCGGCGAAAGGAAGAAGAAGCAGACGACGGCCAGGGCCGCGACGACGACGACGCGGCCGGCAGCACGCGCCAUGUCCGUCGAUCGAUCGCGAUCGAUCAACAGCGUUGAUUGAGACGGGAGAAAGAACUCAAGCUUGGCAUUGGCAUGCAGCUAGUAGUAUCAUUUUGCGCUGGAUUGUGAUGUCUGUUGAGUCAGGUCGCGCGCCUUGGCCUGCAAGAAGUCUCUCAACUCCAUUGGAUCCUUCCUGUUGGUUGGAGUUGGAGAUGGACGUUUAUUCAGCGCUUGGACUGGACAGUCUUUCUCUGUGACGCGAUCAAGGCCAACAACUGCACAGUUGAUUUUUUUUAGGGAUGCACAGUUGAUAUCUUAUGCUUUUGGAACGAUGGUGCGACCCGAUUAACGCGCUCAAGUCGCAGGUAAAACCUACGGGUACCUAGACUCAGAACAUAUGAAAGAAAAUCUGAAAUUGUUCCGAACGUUUUAUUCAGUCAUUUGUUACACAAUAUGGAUUUAUUUCUGAAUUUGUUCAUAGUUUGGACCGGACUAGGUGCGACCUUGCGGAGUACGUUGCUCCGCAUGAUUGGAUGGAAAUCUACAAACCAUGAUGCCAUGGUCAAUCUCAUGAGUUACAGUUUAGACUUCAGAGCUGUGCGUGCGUGCAUAUGAACGCGUGCGCGGCGUGCCCUUCACCUCAGUCAACGCGCGCUUUGUCUUCUCACACAGCUUGUUCCUCACACUCUAACUUUGCCCCGACCGUGUUGUUCUACCAUUCUGUUUUAAAAGCAAGCAAACAAAAUUUGCCUUUGUAACAACACGUCAGAGAAGAAGAACAACAACACCUAAUCGCUGACGUAGAAUCACUUCUGUCGAGUUGGGUUUUGUCAUGUCCUGAAUUAUUUUACAGGUAUUUUGAUAAAAGAUGUGGCAGAGUAGGUAAUACAGACACAUUCUCUGUCACACAAAGGUACACCUCGAUGAAUUUUGGUUGGCCGCAAGAUAUAGACUACUCCAGUAUCUGGUCUUGUAAGAUUUAUGCUUGACUUCUUAUCAAGCAAGGGAUUAAGGUAAGAUAUGUGUUGCUGAAGCAAAAAAAAAAAUUGUGGAGGAUGAUAAGUGCACAUUCGGCUGUUCCUUCCUGAGCUAGUAUCUGUAAAGUUAAUACCUACUAAAUGCAUUUAACGUUUGCAAGUUACAAAUGCAAAGUGUCCAUAUCAUCGUUCACAUUACCAUCCACCCCAUGUAUUCUAGCCCACAAGCAAUCCAUUUUGGUGACUCCUACGACUCAACCUUUUAUCUCCUAAGAAUCUUUACCCACGUUGUAUAUAAAUAUUUCACCAAGUAUAAUAUCUAUGAAGUUGAUCCUCACUAAAAUGCAUUUUGUUUGCAAGCUCCAUGUGCAAAGUGUUCACAUCACCAUACACGUCAUGUGUUGUAGCUCGCAAGCAAUUCAUUGUGGUGGCUCCCUACGAUUCAACAUUUUAUCUCGUAAGACUUUUCACCUUGAUGUUGUAUGUAAAUAUUUCACGAACUAUCCUUUUUUUUAUGUGUGCGUUGUUUUUUCUAAGAAAUGCGAAUACUUCCUGAAGCUUUUUUUCGAUUUUCCAAAAUUUACUGUUCAUGUACAUCAAAAUUGCUCCUAUUCUUUGGAUGAUGAAGUAGUUUGGCCAUACAGUAUUCAUAUUUGUUUUGUAUUUGAUCAUAUUAUUAUCAUUUAUUCUUACGUCAUGUCUAGAUGUGCAAACAUAAUUUUUCGUGGCAGCGCGGGGAAUCAACCAGUUGCAUGUGUGGAUCCUUGAUCUACAAGCAAAACAGAUUGCAGAAGAAAAUCCUUUUUUCCCCGAAAAAAAGAUUGCAGAAGAAAAUGAAUAAAUGCUUUGACGAAUGGCUUGUUGUAGCAUCCCCGUAAGUUCCAGACGAUUGAAUAAUGCAAAGUUUUCGGAAUUCUCGUAGAUUUUGGUUUGGCAGUUGACAUUUUAGCUGUCCACGUCGGAGUUUUUUUAAGAACAGUCCACGUCGGAGUUGGGAUGCCACGCCACCGUCAGUGCGACUAGUCAACUAUACUGACUGAAACAUUAGCUAUACUGGUCCGGCCCAGUUUUUGUUUUUGAACACGGGCCGGCCCAGCUGGUCCAGCUCUGGCGCGGCUGAAUCGGAGGGUCAAAACGACGAGGCCCAAGGCCGACAAGACCACGACCCAGCCGCCACGCAUAGUGUGUGUGUUAUGAAGCCCACGCCCACUUAGCAAAGUAAUUGGGCCCAUCGGCAGACGGUCUUCUUUCUUUCAAGAAACAGAACCAUGCCAAGGAAUUAGGCCGGCCUCUGCUGAGCAACACAAGGUUUCGAUUUUCCUGUGGCGUGAUGGUCGAGCGAACGACCGAACGUGGCUCCAGAGCUUCGGACGCGGACCUCAAGGCCUUUUGCGUAAAAGAUGGAGGCAGGUAGAGGUGCAACACCGUGACCUUUAAGGUAUCUUUUAAUUCUCUUUAGUUCAAAUAAAUGAACUAGUUUUUAAAAAAUUGUGUCAUUUUAAAAUUUUAAUCCAUUUAGUUGAACUAAGGAUGGUCAAAGGGUAUCCUGAUGGUCGCAUUUUGCAGCUCUAGAGGUAGGGAGUUUAUAUAAAAAAACAGCUCGACCUGUCAUCCCACGAGUUUGAUAAGUGAUUGUGUCAGAAUGCGAGGUCAUAGGGUAUAAAGAUUGUAUAUGGACGUAUAAUGCAACUUUGAGGACCCAUGAGAGCAGAUUGCAAUAAAGAGAACUAAAUCAGACCGCACCAUCAAAUUUAUGGGUCACGUAUGCAUUCCAUCGUUCUUCCAAUGAUAUGAUAGAAUGAGUGGAAUCAAGUAGUGACCGUGUGCCAUCUAUAAGUGUGCUUUGCGGCUUAUAGUCUGGUCCAUGCUUGCAUAGAGCCAAAAGUCGCUGACAUGAUCAAGUUCCAUGUAAUCUGAACUUUAAAAAUAUAUUUUUUCGAACGGCUGGUGGCCGAACUUUAUUAAAAAAUCAGAGGAGUACAAGGCGGGUGCUUUUCAGAACAAAAGCAGGCGCCCGUGCGUUUAGCAAAAUGGAACUAUUAAUCUGGUCCAAAAUCUGUUUUCACCUUUCAGUUUCUAAGAAACAUGGGUUAGCAAAAUCUUUUCCUAAAGAGAAGGACGAUAUCUAGGAAGAUUGCAGUGGAAACAUGGCUUAACAAUGGGCAAUCAAUGUGCCAACACCAACACAGGUUGCUGAGUGUUUGAACGGACAACGUACGUCCAGCUCCAGCCUCCAGGACGUGCACCCACUAAGAUGUCAGAAACGAAAAAUUCCACACUAAACUGGAAUACGGAGUACUUUAUUCUGCUAUACAGGAAUAUUAAACCUAACAAGGAAUGAUGAAUAGAGAAAUAGCAAGAUAAUAUAUAAUAUACAUUGUACAAUAAGCAAAAUUGUGACAAUUUGGGAAUAGAGAAAUCAAAACAUCGACGACUUUUCUCGGCAAGAAAAACAUCGACGACUGGAAGCUGCAUGAUGACUUCGUCAGGCUAUUUCAGACUUGGCUCGAGUUGACAUUAAUUUGUUCCUCUUCCCACUUCGUUGGUACUUCCUUCGAUCCAUAUUAAUUGUCAAAAUCUUACAUGUAUCCAGACGAUUUUUAAGCAUAGAUACAUCCAUAUUUGGACAAAUUUAAAACAAUUAAUAUGAAUCGGAGGUAGUAGGAUAAUAUUGGUAUUCCGAGCCACGCGGGAGCUGUGGCUGAUUAAGUAGCAUUAGAGGGUUCAAACCUUGAAAGAAAGACUGCUAUAAAAAAUCCUCACGGCUGAUGUCUUGCCGGCGAGGGGCUAGCACAUGUGUGUUACCAGCAAAAAAAAGUGGGCAUGUGUAAUGAUUAGUGGCUAUCCUUUGAUGAUCACGUGUAACUUGGUCAAAAUUCGUUAUCGAGUUUACACUCGCCUGGGUGGAUAAUUGGUUUGUGAGAGGAUCUUACGGGCUUACGGCAUAUCCCGGAAACAAUCGACCCAGCACAUGCUAUAUGUCCUCGGGAGUGUUUGAAAGGAGGGACCGUAAUAGUUGCCAAAUCUUCGACGCGGCAAAGAUGAAUUGUGAUGAAAUAUAUUUCAAGGUUGUUUAUUGUUAUUUGUUUCGUAUCAUAGGUUGAUAGUUUUUUCUUAUAAAUUUGGUCAAACUUUUAAAAGUUUGACUUAAGACAAAAAUCAUAUGCUUUAUAAUAUGGAAAGAAGGGAAUAGCAUGCAUGACAAUUUUGUCGAGUGCGUCUUUUUUUGGACCGAUACUGUUCUGCAUAUCUUUUCUGAUAAAUAUAUACAACUAUAUAAUUGUAUGAUUAUUAUUUCAUCGCCCUUGUAUCUCAGUAAGAGUAAAAUUGUUCACAGAGUUCUGAAUAUCAACUCCGAUUUGCUCCAUUUCAGCGCUCCGCCGCGCAAAGUAUGCAGGGCGAUUAGGCACCGGCAAUGUUGUGCUUCCGUUCUCCAAGACAAACACUACGGCUGACAUGGCCGGCCUAUCAUCUGGAUUUUCCUGGACACAUAAGAGAGCUACGUGGAUGCAAAGCAACACUUCAUCCGAUGAAGAAGUGUCCAUGAUAGAUGAGUCCAGCAAUUCCUUCGUCUUUCCUUCCUUCCACAUACUCCAAGACUGCAAAAAAAAACAUUGCAUAUUUUUUCGUUUUGGUUGUUAAACAUUUUUCAACAACUAUGUUUGUAUUUAUACAACUUUAGAGUUCUUUCCAUAUAUACUCACAUAGAUUAUGAGGUUAGGGUAGUCCAUGGUAGCGGAGCUUCUCCGUUUGCCGGUUACAACCUCCAAUAGUAACACACCGAAGCUAUAGAUGUCGGACUUGGUAGAGAAUAUGCCUUCCAUUGCAUACUCAGGAGUCAUGUAGCCAUUGUUUGAUCAUUUCAUUUGCAAGAGUUAUAUGUUGAACGAGAUUAAUUUGGAUUUAUUUACAAGUUACAAUGAAAAUUCUACUCACUAUGUUCCAACAACGCGUUGAGUAUUUGCAUUUUGCUGGUUGUCACCGAAGAUUCUCGCCAUACCAAAAUCCGCUAUCUUGGGUUUCAUAUCUGCAUCUAACAAAACAUUUCCAGCUUUUAGAUCUCUGUGAAUUAUGGUCAAUCUUGAAUCUUGGUGGAGGUAAAGAAGUCCCCUUGCAACCCCUUUGAUUAUAUUAAACCGCGUCGCCCAAUCCAACAACAAUUUUCUUGAAUCAUCUGUGGCCAGAAACAAAUGUAAGAAAAUGUGUUUUAGAUUCGUCUUAGGAAAUCAUGACGUGUGUUGCAAGAGUAUGUACCAAAAAUGGUAGCAUCUAAGCUCUUGUUAGGCAGAUACUCGUAAAUCAACAACUUUUCAUCUCCCUCCCCACAACAUCCAAGAAGCCGAACCAAGUUUCUGUGUUGCAAUUUGGCAAUUAGAAUUACUUCAUUCUUGAAUUCCUUUAUCCCUUGCUGUGAAUCCUUGCUUAGCCUCUUGACAGCAACUUCUUGGCCACCUAACAUUCCCUACGGAGUUGUGUGGAAAUUUAUAUCCGGAUUUGUCUUGUGAGCAACUCAAUUUUACCGAUUUAAGAACAGAGGAUAGGAAACUACUAUCGAACUACUUACCUUGUAUACUUUUCCAAAGCCUCCUUGUCCAAUUACACACGUUUCAGAGAAGUUGUGCGUUGCUAUGGCAAUUUCCUCAAAUCUUACAAAUGGGAAUUCAUGAUCGCGUGGAGGGUUUCCUUUCCCAAGUUCAUAAGAGAUACUCAUACUAUCCAAUGUCUAUCAUCUUCUGCUUUCUCUUUUUCCUGUUCUUCCCUGCUCCCACAAUUUCAUAAACAUUUCAAUUCAGGAAAUAUACCUUGCAAUUUAAUCCACAAGAGAUGGUCAAAUGGACUUUAUCAUCAGGAAAUAACCCUAUACGUACUAAGGUACCUUGCAAUUUUAGCCAUGCCAGGAAAAUGCACAUGAGGAUCACAAUAGUACCGCCCAAAACUGGCAGAGAAAUCUUAACCGUGGUGCUGUGUUUACCUGUGCAAAACGUACACACACAUAGCACAUCGCACGAAAUAAAUGGAAAUACAUCUGUGAAAACAAGAAAUUCAGAUCAAGAAUUGGUACCAUCCGUUGCGUCCAGGCCUGCAAUGCGGAGAUAGAGCGUGUAGCUGCCGAGCGCCUCGGCGCCGACCUUCCCGUCGUCAAUCAGCCCGCCGGCCCACACGAGGCACCUCGUCAAGUUUCGCCGCGGCGACUUCCCGGCGUCGCUGCUGCCCAGGUUGGCGUACGCGUACGCCACGCACGAGCAGUUGCGGCCGCACUCCGCCGCGCACUCCUCCAGCGUGCCGCCCCGGUCCCCGCCGACCACCGCGAACCCGUCGGGUGACUUCAUCCCCGGCAACGCCAAGAAGCCGCCGUCGUUGCCGCACCCAAGCAGCGGUUCCUUCCGCCGGCACCCCUCCGAGAACUUCCCCUGGCCCCACUCCCCUGCGCUCGCCGGCUCGAAGCCUUCGAGGCACGCGCACGUCGGGGACGAUGGCGCCGCCGCCGUCUCGUCGCAGUACCCGUACGGGCCGCAGUGGCCGUAGCGGCUGCAUUCCGUGGACGGCCAGUGCGCGAGGACGGCCCACGAUGACGAGGCGGCGCUCCAGCUCUGGAGCUGGUAAGUGCCGGAGUGCGUCACCACGUACCUGGUGCGCCCGGCGCCGUCGGAGAGCGUGUAGGUGAGGUAGAUCUCGUCGUCUCCGUCGACGAUUGCCAGGUAGACGACGAUGGCCGCGGCGCUGCUGGCGUUGUCCUUGGCCGCGCCCGCCGGUGGCGGCUGGUACCGGCGCUCGCUCUUCACCAGGUACCCGUUCCACGGCGCGCUGCGGGCGACCGGGCGCGCGCCAUCCCAGAGGAACACCUGGAGGGACGUGGCCGGGUCGCCGCCGUAGGAGAAGCGCCCCGGCGAAGGGUCGCCGGGCGCGUUCCAGGACACCAGGCGGUCGCCGGCGCGCGUCCUGUACCUCAUCCGGAUCUUCAUGCCCGGCAGGAACGUGUCCGUCGGGUGGUCGAAGCUCUGCCACAGCGUGGUGCCGUUUGCCGAGCGGAGGACCAGGUUGCCGCUGUUCAGGAGCACCGCCGUCGCCGCCGGAGCUGCGGCCACGUCGGUCUCAGGCGUCGUCGUCCAAAGGACGCGGCCGCCGUCGGAGAGGACGAGGCUGGAGGUGUCGGUGAGGGAGAGCGUGGGCGCGGAGGAGGAGUUAGUAGUGUUUGUGGCCGGGGUUUCUCGGUUGGCGACCCACACCACGGUGAGCUCGGGGAUGCCGUUGUACCAUAUGCCGACGUACAGCCUUGCCGGAGUAGUGGAGUUGGAGGGGCUGAAGAAACCCAGGGCGAAGGCGCCGUCGUCGGAGACGAUGGUAGCGCCAGGGGAGAGCGGCUUGCCGGGGACGAGGCGGUCGUCGGCCGCACGCAACGGCAGGAAGAUCACAAGGAUCAGGAUAGUGAUGGAGCACGCGAGAGCCCACCGGUCCAUUGGUCGAUCGGACAGGCCCAAAAAACUUCUGUUGUACUGUACGUACGAGCAUGUGGAAAGGAAUGUAAUCCGCUAGUCGUACACAGUGACUCGUACUACUAUUUCGUUGUUGAUGCUGACAUGCUGUUGUUUACAAGCCUUGAUCGGACCCGUUCCAGCAUUCGAUCGCGUGGAUUACGAAAGCAGAUGGCUGAAAAAUGCAUAGUUCUUGAAUCCUGCGGUAGGAGCUCAGAGUGUUUUGGAUUUGACAUCUCAGCUGUCCACGUCGGAGCAGAGCGCGAUACGGCGAUAGUCAUCGUGCUCGUGUGAACCCAGCUGGUCAAACCGCGGCACGGUUGAAUCCAAACAAACUUUACCCUAUUUUUCUAGGGAAACAAACCUUUUAGCUUUGUAAUUGAGGCCCACGGGCCACGGGAAUUAAUGGCCCAGCGAGAGCUCUACCCAGUCACCCACCCACGUCCGGCCUAGUCGCGGGGUGCGGCCUCGCUGGUCGGUCGUCGCUUCGUGUAAUAUACUCCGAUUAGGCAAAUUAGGCAAAUCCGAACUGAUCUCCAAUAAGAAAGCCAAUCCGAACGCAUCACGUAAUUCCGGCAGCAGCUAUAUUUAGUGACUCCUGUAUGCAGCUCGAUCGAUGCCUUGGAUCUCUUGAUGCUCCCCAGACCGAUUGAAUCGCCUGCCUCGAUCGAAGAUACAACACUUGGUUAAGUUUGAUACUACUACCAAAUUAACGAAUUUGAUUUAGAUCGGAGAGAGAAGAUGGGAUCGUCGUCAAGAACAGGGAAUAACCGAGUGGAGGAUCGUCCGGAGGAGGAGGAGGACGAGUUGUUCGUGGCCCGUGUCGGCUUGUCCGUGACCUUUGUCGUCAUCUUCAUCCUCUUUCUUCUCGUCGACACGGGCGUGAUCAAUCCCGGCGCCCCCAAGUUUCUCAAGAUCUUCUAUGGGGUGACGGGGCUCAUCUGCCUGCUCGGUGCUGCCAUCCUCGUAGUCGACUGCCUGCGUGAACGGGAACACUGGCCGGCGCCCUUUCGCCGUACGCGCAUUGCCGGGCCCGCCGAUCUGCCGGCCUGCGACGCGUGUUAGUCUGCUAGCUAUAUUGCCUGCCCUUUUUUUCACCAAGAAGCUGGAGUACCUUUUUUUUUAGGUGUUCACCAAGUAGCUACCUUGCCUGCCUUGGUUCGGCUCAUCGAUCUUACCGUUAUAAUAGGGUUUUUUUUCGUGCUUUGCCACAGCCUUUAAAAUACACCGGUUACCAAAUAAUGUAAUGUUUGUGUGUUGCAACGGACAAACAAAUUUGAUCUAUGUACUUGUUUCCUGAUGUUUUUUAUUUUAUUUGAUCUAUGUACUUGUUUAUUGGUUAAGAUACAUGCGAAGUACGAUAUGAUGUACUCGUCUCAUAAUGAUCUAUGUAUUGUUUAUUCAUGAUUUUGAUUUUUUUUAUCUACGUACUUGUUUCUUGGUUAAGGUACAUAUGAUGUACGAUAUGAUGUACUCGUCUCAUAAGAGGUAUGGUACCAAAUUAUCACAGAUGUUCAUGCUAUGAUUUUUUUUAAUAGCUGUGAUGUACCAUACGAUGUACUCGUCUCCUAAGUGCAUAUACUCGAGGUACUCAAAAUCUGAUAAAAUACAUGCCAUGCACCAUAAUGUAUUUAUCCAUGUACCAUAAUGUACUUAUAAGGUAUAGUUCAUAUACUUACAAAAGGAAAAAAGUCCGAGUGCCUAACAAAAAAAAAAGAGAGAAGAGCAAAAGUUGUUAGGUUUUUUAAUUUAAAGCAAAAGACAUUAACCAAGAGGAAGAUGGAGAAGGCCAAACAUGUAGCCAGCACCGUGGGCGCAAAUGCCACCAGUGGCACCAUUUCUGAAGGGGCGCGUAGAGAUAAACAAAAACUUUUUCUACACGAACUCCCAAGAUCUAGCCGAGGUAGAAGGCCACGAGGAUUACCACUAGACGCGCAGUUGCGGAUUAUCGAUGCAGCGCCUUGAUGCAGUGCAGUCCCUCGAUCCGAUCCAGCCGAUCCAAUCCCGCGAUCGUCGAAGUGCUGAACGUACAGCACCUCUGCCGGUAUCCACACAUGCGAGGAGGAGCUCCGGCGGCGGACUGCUAGGUCCGGUGCGAUGGUUGGACUGAAUGGGGCUAGGGUUCUCAACGCAUGAGAGUGGCGAACCGUGCCCCUUAGGCAUCCCACGCCCCUGCUUAUAUACCGAGUGGAAGUGGGCUUCAGCACUUGUGGCCCAUCCACUCUGCGAGUCGAACUCGCAUUGUCAGUCCAUUUCCGGUUUGGGUCCAACCCGACCAAAUACUUGCUUCCGCUCUUAAGUGUGUGACCCCGCAGGCUCAUGGCGACUUGGACACGAUUGGAGUCCGACUCUCAAUCGAUCAACCUGUAGCGGCUCCUAGCAGAACGUGCCGACUCCCAAGUACCAUCGAGUCAUGACGACGUACCUUCCAAUGUGACAUACGUCUUAGUCCCUUUUGCCUCACGAUAUACCUUGUCGAACUAUAGGCGAUUAAUCGUCAUCCCUUUAAUAGUUCAACUCUCUUCUCGAUCUGUGAUAUGCGAUUCAUCCGACUAACUCUUAGUCGAUCGACCCAGUUAACAGUUAACCGAGUCGCGCAUGGCCAUGCUUCCCGAAUCAUAUCACUCGAGAGGGCCCAGAGAAUAUCUCUCCAGUCGGAGGGGCAAAAUCCCAUCUUGGUUAUCCACAUCACAUAGCUUGAUUCUCAGUCAACUCGAACUCUGCCUUUAUAACUGCCCUGUUACGGAACAACGUUUAACAGAACCUAAGUUGGUGAUCCACAACUCGGAUUGUGCGAUAACCUCAGGUCUAAGGAUUACAUUGAUUGAGACAUGCAAAUGACGACCUACUCGUUGCAUCUCAAUAUGGGUCAGUCCGACUCGCUAAACUCUUUAGCCGAGUCCGUGUAAGCUGGAAUGACAUCACCAUGCCCAUGACAAGUGGAACCGAGUCAUCAGCCAACUUUCACAUUAGUUUAGGUUAUGUGUUCAGCACAACCUAAAUGACUAAGGACAAUUUAGUAUGAACAACAUGAAUACAUAGUUCCACAAUCAAAUCACAUAUUCAAUGAUACAUAUCAGAUGUUCAAACAAGGACAACUUAAUAAUCUUUAUGAAUACAUUGGGAAUUACAUCAUACAUGAUUGCCUCUAGGGCAUAUUCCCAACAAUUUCCGCUUUACUUUGAUCGUCAGCGCUCUGGGCUGACGUCACGGCCUUGACGUGCGCGGUGUUUCAUGCACGUCGAUGCGUGUUAGGGUGGUCGCUGCACUGGUUCUUCGGAGGGUUCCAAAGUCCAUGAGUUGGCGUAUGGGAGGCGGUAACCAUCUUUCUGGUGGCUUCUCAUGGCGCCUAUAUAUGUAGAGCUGUUGUCGGCAUUGCUCUGGGCACUUGCGUAUUGCGCUAUGGGUUCUGAACUUCUGAUGGGUUGCUUGGCGCUGCAGAUGUGGAUCCGGCACGAUCGGCAGCAUUGGAGCGUCGGUGUCCUCCCUCUGCCCUAACCACGACGUCCUCCCUCUGCCCUAACCACGGCGCCCCCCCCCCCCUCUUCCCCAACCACGGUGUCCCCCGGUGGCCCCGUUGCUAGAGGUGAAGCUCCGCAGCUAAGGAGGUGCAGUCCGGCGACAUCCAGGCUGAGACUACAGGGAGGUGUGGGGCCAGUGAGGCCAGAACGAUCCACCGGCCGCCAUGUGCCUCCUCACGCCUUUUUUUUUUGAAAAAGAGGGACCCCCUCCUGUUUCCAUUAAAGAAACGAUAGUCUUCUACACAAAUAGACAAAAGUAAGAAAAAGAAGAAAAACAUUCAGCGCGAAGUUCAGAUCACCAGCAGGUCUAGAAAUGAUACUAGCAACAGCAGAGAAAGAGAAAACAUACUACAAUUCAUAGAGCUCCUAGUCAGUAGAUUCAGAUAAAUGUUCUUGCUGCAGCAAUAGUUCCUUCACUUCAUGUAACCUGAACUUCUCCUCCUCCACUACCUCCCUAGCGAAGGCAGAGACCAGACAAAGCAGAAAAGCAGAGACGGCGAAACUUCAGCCCGCCAUGAUGCGACGACAAAGAGGAUGCCAUCCUUUCGCUGUUUCAAAAAUUUCCUUGGCGACAACUUCAACCAGUCUUACCCCCCACCGCAGAAGAUUUCUGCUUGCUUCCUUUCUCUGCAGAACAGACCAAAGAUUGAGCCAAUAACAGAAUCUCUUAAUGAUACCAAAAGGAGAAUAUCUUAAUGAUAUUUGGUCAAAAAAAUAAUAUCUUAAUGAUACCAAAAGGAGAAGUCAAACCAGCAGAUCUACAACAGGCAUCAUUUCUAGUGUUCCAGAGUACCCACAGUAAUCCUGCAACCCCUACCAUAACCAAUUUCCUAACAUUGCCAGAAAAAGCCUGCAUCCAUCCAGUCCAAAUUUGAUCAACAGUAUCCGGCUAAGAAUUUAAAUUGAAAGAACAAUUUAGAAUAUUUCAUAAGAAUCAAGCUAAAGUACACUGGAGGAAAAGAUGAUCAAUUGAUUCAUCCAUCCCACAGAACUGACAUUUGGAAUCCCUUUUCCACCCUCUAUGCUGCAAAACAUCUUUAGUCAAAUCAAAUAUCUCAGCCUCCUCACGUCUGGCGCUGCUCAUUUUUUAGAUUCUGUUCCAUCUUGAUUGAUUCCUUAGUUCACAAAUCAAAGAUCUCAGCCUCUCUUGAUUGCAAUUGGUACGGCGACGGAGAUUUUUCCUCUUUUUUUAGAGCUCUUUUACGGUACCCCACAUUUAAUAUGAUCCAUCCAUUAGUCACGAUCUAAUGGCUAAUAUUGUCCGGUACUCCACUACAAGUUGUCUGGAGUACUACCUCAAGAAUAGACGGAGUACCACGAUAUGAGGGGCAAAAUCGUAAUCAUAAGAAGUUUUUUUUCUCUCGCGGAGUUAUUUUGAUAAUCCAACACUAAAUAUUGUGCCAAAACUCAGGCGUGAAUGUUUUGAUUUACGCCAUCUAAAAAAGUCAUGAACCGGAGAUGAACCCUAAUCCUGAGGAGGUGUGGCGCCAGGCUUUGAUCCAUCACCGGCCGGCGCAAGUAUGCAAGGGACGAGGACGCUCCCCCCGCCGGCGCAAGUAUGCUCGUCGAGCCGCCGCCUUCUCCGUUUCUGAAGACACGAGCAUCGCCGUCAGGGCGCGGACCAGAGCUAGGUUUGGUCAAAAGGUAAACUGGGCCAAACAGUAGAGAUCAGGACGGCGGCGGAGAGCGGGAGACACGACAGAGUGCGGCCUGCACACAGUGCCGAAGGCCAAGGGUCAGCACUGACGCUUGCUCCCACGGCCAACGGCUUGGGCACGCAGGAGACUUGACGAUCCACGAGACCUUGGGCUUGGUUGAUUGAAAGGAGUACGUGAAAGUCCAAGAUGACCUGCGGGUUGCGGAAAUGCCCAGACUGCCCUUGCAGAUGAACGGACAGAUUUGUAUGGUACUCCAUCUUGUGUUUUGGGAGUACCAAUACUGUAAAAACUCUUUUUUUUUAAUUCUUUUCUUACUGCCCUAAACCCAUGGCAAUGUUUCUACUUUCCAGUGUCUUAGUUUGUUGUGGCAGGUAAUACAAUCGUUCCACGUAUAGGCUCCUCAGUUAGCGGCUUAAGCCUCGGUAGACUCCGGCCGCCACAUGCCUACGCUGACGGCUGCAGCUUCUUGCGUUUUGGCGAUGCUAUAAUCCCUUCUGGUGCGGUAAACUCUUUUCUAGCGGUGCCGGUUUCUACCGGCGUGGGAUGGACCAAUCGUUCACUGCCAGCAUGCACCACGUAUCCGGACGCUAUGUAUAUCCUUCAGUAUUCAUUUGUUCCCUCAUUUAUUCAACGUGGUAAUCUCAGUCUGGGUCCCACCAUGUGCUAAAAGAAAAGGGAGCACCAAAGAAGAGCGACGCGGGGCUCUGGACCUCUGUUCGAGGCGUGACGAGCGGGGCCCAAGCAAGGUGCGGGGCCAGGCGGGCAGCGAGCCAGCGACGGGCGCUGGCGCUAGUGUGUGUGAGCAAAUUUGAGGAGGUCUGUACAAAUUUGAUGAAACUUUUCUAAUCCUGUACUAACACAUUUUGAGGUUUGUACAAAUUAUGUAAGGGUUCAAACCAACUCAGAUUUUGAUGAAACUUUGGGGGUUGGCUUAAGAUGGGAACAUCCACCUUCAGUAAACGUUUCAAAAAUUUUGUAGCAAAUUUGAAACUCUGAGAUUUAAAUAUGGUUUAAGUUAAAAGGGCUAGUAAACUAAUUUUGAUUGACGCGAAAUUUUGCAUGUGCUCAUCUUGCAUAUAUGUGAGUUUGUACAAAAAGUUACAUGUCAAAAAGACGAAGUAGAAAAGUGGGUUAUUUCACAUAGGUUUGAAAAGGGGUUUAGUCCGCGCGAGUUCUAAAUUGAUGCAACAAUAAUUAAUACAUGAGAUGAUUACAUGAUGCAUGCUUAAUCUUAAAAUGAUCCUAUAUUAAUCAUCACACUGUAGUUCUCCACCAGCUCGGUCACCUACCGAUGGCGCGCAUGCCGCGCUAGCCACGCACCGCCUUGUGUUGCCCAACAUACCAUUUGUAUAUCAAUUUUUGGGUCAUUACACUAUAGUUCUCAAAUUUGUCGAAAUAUACCAUUUGUAUAUCAUAUACCACAUACCAAUGAAAUAUAUCAUUCAAAUACCACAUACCAAAUAAAUAUACCAUGUACCAAUAAAAUAUACUAGUGAGAUACCGUUGCAAUAUCAUAUACCAUACGAAUGUAGUGUACCAUUUGUAUAUCAUAUAACACCGUAAUAUCAUAUACCACAUUACCAAUGAAAUAUACCAUUCAUAUACCACAAAGCAGAGAAAUAUACUAUUCAUACACCAUGUACCAAUAAAAUAUACCAAUGAGAUACCGUUGUAAUAUCAUAUACCAUACGAAUGUAGCAUACCAUUUGUAUAUCAUAUAACACCGUAAUAUCAAAUACCACAUACCAAUGAAAUAUACCAUUCAUAUACCACAUAACAAAUAAAUAUACCAUUCAUAUACCAUGUAAAAAUAAGAUAUACCAGUGAGAUACCGUUGUAAUAUCAUAUACCAUACGAAUGUAGUAUAUCAUUUGUAUAUCAUAUAACACCGUAAUAUCAUAUACCACAUGCUAAUGAAAUAUACCAUUCAUAUACCAUAUAACAAAUAAAUAUACCAUUCAUAUACCAAGUACCAAUGAAAUAUACUAGCGAGAUACCACCUAAUUUCAUAUACCACAUACCAAUAAAAAUAAUAAUAAUCUAAAAUAUUGCAUCAUGUCAUCAUUACUUAUAUUGGUUGUGCAUCGAUUUAAAACUUUGCGGUCAUCAUUCUUAAACACCUUUUCAAACCUUUGUGAAAUAAAACAUCUUCAACCUUGUCCCGUCGACCUAAAACUUUUUGUACAAGCUCACAUAAAUAUAGUUCGAGCCUCUACAAAAUUUCAAGUUAAGCGGAAUUACUUUAAUACCCUUUUUGAAUUAAACGAUUUUCGAAGUCACAUAAAUCCCUGAAUUUCAAACUUGCUCCAAAAUAAUUGAGAAUUUUACUGGAGGUGGAUAACACCAUCCUAAACCAACCCUCAAAAUUUCAUUGGAUUCGGACUUCAUUUGAACUUUCAAAUUAUUUGCAGAAACCACCAAACGUCUAAGUUCAAAGUUGGAAACGAAAUCAAUCAGGUGACCCCACAUGUCAUACUCUCACGUGUAACUUAUUCUCUUUCUCAGUUCUCUUCUUCUCUUCACAGCACGGUAGAAGAUAUCCAGUGCUCCCACCCCUUAGGAUGCGAGCGUGCUCAGUUUUCGAAUUUUUUGAUAUAAAUUGAGUAGCUUUGUAAGAUAUGUGUCUAUCAUGUCACAAAGUUUCAAAUCCAAAUUCAUCAUAUGCAUAGAAAAACAAAAAGGACAAAUCCAGAUGCGAGUAGGUCGCAAAAAGAUAAAAACACAAAAAGACAAAAUUUCUAACACUAUUCAUGUUUGCAUUUGUCUUUUUUUUUUCUCUCUGUGUAUAAUGAAUUUGGAGUUGAAACUUUGUGACAUGGUAGACACAUAUCAUAUGAACCCAUUCAAUUUAUUUUGAAAAUUUUGAAAACUUUUUAGAGGUGCUGCCGUGCAUUGGGAGCACGGUAACACCCUAAGGGGUGGGAGCACUGGAUAUCUUCUUCACAGCACGGCACGCACAGGAACUCAAACCGCAUCGCCACUUCCUGACAUCGCUCGCCAUAGCCCUGCACUGUGUGCCAAGGCCUGCCCAUCUACUCGCAUCACGCACUCUAGCGGACGUGUCAGCCGCGGAUCCCGCCGGAUCUAGAGAACAACGCGGCGGCGGCGCACUCCAGCUGCUCGUGAUCUUGGGAAGAACGGCACAACGGCGCACUCCGGGAAAGAAAUUGGGGCAGCCAUGGAUCCGAGGAAGAAUUGCGUGGCAGCUCGGUCCAGUGGCUCGCGACCAUUGGGAAGAACGGCACGACAGCGCACUGCGGGAAAGAAAUUGGGGCGGAAAUGGAUCCGGGGAAGAACAGCAUGUCGGCGCGUCGAUGAAGCUCCCUGCGGCAGUGGCACAGGUGGCGACGAUGCUAGACACCUCCGGCGAUAGGAGGGAGGGAACAACGCGAUGGCAGAGGGAGACUGGGAGAGAGAUGACAGUACGAUGGAAACCAGCCAAAAUAUCUGCUCCGUGAAGGACAGUGACAAACUCAAGUGGGCUGGGUAGCAACAAGUACAAUACAUCUUGCGACCGAACCGAUGUAUAAAUUUCCAUAAUUGAAAUACCGACUCGGGCGUGCGUUGAUCUCAUAGCGCGAAUGGACGGUUCGUAGGAUACCGGCACCGCUACAAUCGCCGCUUUGCUUCUGGUGCAGCUAUUUAUGUUUAUGAUUCAACUUGUAUUCUAUCAACUAUGCCUUCUCGCGAGUUUGGCCAUGCAAUGACAAUGUUGUUAUUAUAUACUGUCUUGGUGAUUUAUCCUAUUUGCCUUUUUCUCCAGAUAGAUUCGCAGAUUAUUGAGAAUGCGACAAAGUUAUAAAAAAAUGGCUGAAGUUGGAAUCUCAGUUGAAGAGCAUGAAGGACAACUCCAAGAUUUUCCAUCAUCCAUCCCAUUUUUGCCUCCCCUGGCUAGUAUUAAGCAAGGACGUUACUUGGUAAUACUUUGCAUGCAACGGUAUGGUGUGUCGAAUUUGAAACUCAUAAGCAGUUGGUUACUAUAUUUCUAGUUUUCUAUAAAAGAAUGCAGCUAAUCUGAAGGUCUACUAUGCUACUCUUCUCAUUGCUGCGUAAUGGUCUUGUGGAUUUCUUGCACCAAUUAUCCUUUUUUUAAAAGGUCCAGCAAACGUUGGCUUUCCAAUGCAUUAGCAGGCAGAGAUAAUUACAGGGUUUGCCCUAGGCCAAAGAGAAAAAAGGAGCGGAAACAAAAGAAAGAAACGAAGGUGGCCAGGGGAGACUGAGGAGGAUUUCAGGGGGGUUCCAGAGAAGUUUCCUGAGAGCCUUUGCGCCGACGAAAGCCCGGUCUUGCGCUUGAAAGUAGCGAUCUGACACAUGCCGGUGGCCUUGUCAUGGAAAACUCUUGAAUUGCGCUCGCGCCAAAUCGAGUGGCACACCAGGAUGAACAAGGACCCAAGCCCUUUGCUUAGGUUUGCACUGUAUGAUUUCAUGAGGCGGUCGUGGAAGUCCUGGAUCGACGUGGCCCCAUGGAUGGCCGUAGCAAGGGCACGACAGUUAGGCCAGAGUGCAAUCUCGCACCAGAGCAUGCUGGAGAACGAGCACUCGACGAAGA